RNAcentral lists this ribosomal RNA (285 nucleotides) under uncultured bacterium. Its description in RNAcentral is "partial 16S ribosomal RNA". It matches the Rfam family "Bacterial small subunit ribosomal RNA", at positions 333 to 610 of the family's 1533-position model. The record is from RNAcentral.
GGUUUCCUACGGGGGGCAGCAGUAGGGAAUUUUCGUCAAUGGGCGCAAGCCUGAACGAGCAAUGCCGCGUGAACGAGGAAGGUCUUCGGAUCGUAAAGUUCUGUUGAAGGGGAAAAAGAGCGGGGAGAGGAAAUGAACUCCGAUUGAUAUUACCCUUCGAGGAAGUCACGGCUAACUACGUGCCAGCAGCCGCGGAAAUACGUAGGGGGCGAGCGUUAUCCGGAAUGAUUGGGCGAAAAGGGUGCGUAGGCGGCCUGCUAAGUUGGGAGUGAAAGGUACCGGCUC